Long non-coding RNA from Culex quinquefasciatus (southern house mosquito), 1267 nucleotides. RefSeq lists it as uncharacterized. The transcript is spliced from 3 exons. Lineage: Eukaryota; Metazoa; Arthropoda; Insecta; Diptera; Culicidae. The record is from RefSeq and is a predicted model, not a curated record.
UCUUAGGGUACACUGCUUAAAUAUUGCAAUUAUAGGGACCAAUCUUAGGGUACACUUUUUUAAAUUCUCGACCCCUCUUUCGUCCACCUAGACAACUCACAAAACCCACCCCUAGCCUCUUUAAGUGAUGACGCAGUUAAACCCUACUUUCUACUGUAUUUUUACAUGAUGUUUUUUUAUAAAAAAUUACAUUUACAUGAUAAUUUAUUAUUUUCGAGAUUAUUUUAGUACCAAACAUAAGCCAUUUGCAGUUGAGGGAUAGUUUUUUUUUGUGAUGGAUUGUCAAGGGUUAAGUUUUAAGCUUUCAAACCAAACACAAAGGGUUGGAAUUCUUAAGAAGUCGCAGUAGGCGGCUGUUCCGGUGAAAAUCGGAUUUUGUCCGGUUUUCUGACCGCUGCAUUCCAUGGAAUCGGGUAUCAAACUGAGGCCGGAACAGUUUGGCUAUUCCGGAUGACCGCUGAUGGCCCGGAUCUUCCGUACCGCCUGGCGCACUCCUCCCAGAAGUACCACCGUUACGCGCUACUCCUUGAAGCUUCUCGGAAGUGGCAUCUGGAAGCCACGGCAGGGAGAAUUCGGCUUCUAGAAAAACUGGACCGCAAACUCGUGGAGCUGACUCUUGCUUCCAUUUCCAGACCAGCUUUUCGAGAACCAUGUUCCGGAUCAACAAUGUAGAGUGCCAAAAAAGCGGAUCUCAACGUUUUUGAGCAAGCGAACGGCUGAGAUGGUCCCGGCAAACAUCCCGGCCAAGUGUUUGAAGAACCAGAGCAAACAAACGGUAUCUGGACCGUAGGCGGAUGGCCGCCGUCGAUUUCCGCGUGAACAUCGAUGUUCCGGCAGAAACGCAGGUUCUGACAGGUUCCUAACCAGGGAGAACGGUAUCAUCAGAUAUCAUUCAAUCAUAUCGAGUGUAGUUAUUGUUUAGAAUGUAUAUUUAGUUAAAAAUCAUGAAUAAAAUGCACUUUUUCGAUCGUUUUUUCAUUUCAUGAAAAUUAAAAUAAAGCCAUGAAAAUAAACAAACUGCAGUUUUAUUUCUCCCCACUGCCAUCAGAUGUCGCCCUACGAGCUUUCAGCAACAGAAUUAUUCCACCACCAGAUGUCGCUUUGAUGUAAGCUAUUAUGAUGAGCUUUCAAGCUUUUUCGGGACUUUUCUGCAGUUCAAUUAAUCAAAUCAAGUUGGCGCCACUGGUCAAUUUAGGCUGGCAAAGCAUGCUGUCAAAUUUAGGAAUUUGGUUACUUCUUGCGAAGAAGGAAGCCAAAUUACUAAAUA